AGAGUUUGAUCCUGGCUCAGAAUGAACGCUGGCGGCGUGCCUAACACAUGCAAGUCGAACGAGAGCGAAGGAGCUUGCUCCUUCAAUCUAGUGGCAGACGGGUGAGUAACGCGUGGGUAAUCUACCUUCGAGUGGGGCAUACCAGGCCGAAAGGCCUGUUAAUUCCGCAUGAAAUGGAUGUCAUCUUGGUGGCGACCAUGAAAGCCCGGGAUCUUCGGACCGGGUGCUUGAAGAGGAGCUCGCGUUAGAUUAGCUAGUUGGUGAGGUAAUGGCUCACCAAGGCUGCGAUCUAUAGCCGGCCUGAGAGGGUGAUCGGCCACACUGGAACUGAGACACGGUCCAGACUCCUACGGGAGGCAGCAGUGGGGAAUUUUGCGCAAUGGGGGAAACCCUGACGCAGCAACGCCGCGUGAGUGAAGAAGCAUCUUGGUGUGUAAAGCUCUGUCGAUAGGGACUAAGAAUCGUUGCCUAAUAAGUAACGGAAUUGAAUGUACCUAUAGAGGAAGCCCCGGCUAACUCCGUGCCAGCAGCCGCGGUAAUACGGAGGGGGCAAGCGUUAUUCGGAAUUACUGGGCGUAAAGGGCGCGUAGGCGGCCUGUUAAGUGAGAAGUGAAAGCCCACGGCUUAACCGUGGAACUGCUUCUCAUACUGGCAGGCUAGAGAAUAGGA
Molecule: ribosomal RNA, 669 nt
Filed under: uncultured Acidobacteriota bacterium
Lineage: Bacteria; Pseudomonadati; Acidobacteriota
Description: bacterial SSU rRNA
Rfam family: Bacterial small subunit ribosomal RNA
Source: RNAcentral